CAGGUCUGUGAUGCCCUUCGAUACUCUGGGCGGCACGCGCGCUACAUUGGAUAAAAUAGUAUGACAUUACACUGUUAAGUGGUAUGAAUCAUGCAAUUUAUUUCGUAAAUGGGAUAGUUUUUUGCAAUUGACAGACUUGAACUAGGAAUCCCUUGUAGAUAUAUUGCAUCAUAAUAUAUCGAAUACGUCCCUGCCGUUUGUACACACCGCC
This 211-nucleotide ribosomal RNA is filed under the name uncultured eukaryote. RNAcentral describes it as "partial 18S ribosomal RNA". It matches the Rfam family "Eukaryotic small subunit ribosomal RNA", at positions 1457 to 1673 of the family's 1831-position model. The record is from RNAcentral.